Molecule: ribosomal RNA, 618 nt
Filed under: uncultured bacterium
Lineage: Bacteria
Description: bacterial SSU rRNA
Rfam family: Bacterial small subunit ribosomal RNA
Source: RNAcentral
CCUACGGGAGGCAGCAGUGGGGAAUUUUGGACAAUGGGCGAAAGCCUGAUCCAGCAAUGCCGCGUGAGUGAAGAAGGCCUUCGGGUUGUAAAGCUCUUUUGUCAGGGAAGAAACGGUGAGAGCUAAUAUCUUUUGCUAAUGACGGUACCUGAAGAAUAAGCACCGGCUAACUACGUGCCAGCAGCCGCGGUAAUACGUAGGGUGCAAGCGUUAAUCGGAAUUACUGGGCGUAAAGCGUGCGCAGGCGGUUUUGUAAGUCUGUCGUGAAAUCCCCGGGCUCAACCUGGGAAUUGCGAUGGAGACUGCAAGGCUAGAAUCUGGCAGAGGGGGGUAGAAUUCCACGUGUAGCAGUGAAAUGCGUAGAGAUGUGGAGGAACACCGAUGGCGAAGGCAGCCCCCUGGGUCAAGAUUGACGCUCAUGCACGAAAGCGUGGGGAGCAAACAGGAUUAGAUACCCUGGUAGUCCACGCCCUAAACGAUGUCUACUAGUUGUCGGGUUUUAAUAACUUGGUAACGCAGCUAACGCGUGAAGUAGACCGCCUGGGGAGUACGGUGCAAGAUUAAACGUUNAAAUUGAAAUUGACCGGNNGNGAGNGCGAGACGACGACGAGGGAGAGG